This 253-nucleotide ribosomal RNA is filed under the name uncultured bacterium. Its description in RNAcentral is "partial 16S ribosomal RNA". It matches the Rfam family "Bacterial small subunit ribosomal RNA", at positions 524 to 776 of the family's 1533-position model. The record is from RNAcentral.
UACAGAGGUGGCAAGCGUUGUUCGGAAUUACUGGGCGUAAAGGGCGCGUAGGCGGCCAUCUAAGUCAGACGUGAAAUCCCCCGGCUUAACCUGGGAACUGCGUCUGAUACUGGACGGCUGGAGUUUGGGAGAGGGAUGUAGAAUUCCAGGUGUAGCGGUGAAAUGCGUAGAUAUCUGGAGGAAUACCGGUGGCGAAGGCGGCAUCCUGGACCAAUACUGACGCUGAGGCGCGAAAGCUAGGGGAGCAAACAGG